RNAcentral lists this transfer RNA (57 nucleotides) under Parafilaroides normani. RNAcentral describes it as "tRNA-Trp". The record is from RNAcentral. Lineage: Eukaryota; Metazoa; Nematoda; Chromadorea; Rhabditida; Filaroididae.
AUAGACUUAAGUUAAGUUAAACUAUUAAUUUUCAAAAUUAAAAAUAAUUUUUCUAUA